This is a long non-coding RNA of Trematomus bernacchii (emerald rockcod), 193 nucleotides long. RefSeq lists it as uncharacterized. The transcript is spliced from 3 exons. NCBI's taxonomy places the organism in Eukaryota, Metazoa, Chordata, Actinopteri, Perciformes, Nototheniidae. The record is from RefSeq and is a predicted model, not a curated record.
CAGCUGUCAGGACAGGGUCCGUGAGGGACACAGUACUUGGUCCUAGACGCAAAAAGAAAAAGUCAGGGAAAAGCAGAAAUGUUGGUGGAGUGGGAGCCCUGUCCAGUAUGUGGCAAGGAGUGGGCUCAUUCCUGGCAGCCGAAGAAUUCUCCGGGAUAAUGCAUAAAAAUAAAAACUGUUAUUUGAACUCCAG